CUAUCCUACGGGGGGCAGCAGUGAGGAAUAUUGGUCAAUGGACGCAAGUCUGAACCAGCCAUGCCGCGUGCAGGAAGACGUCUCUAUGAGUUGUAAACUGCUUUUGUACGAGGGAAAAUACCGAGACGAGUAUAGGGUUGAAAGUAUCGUACGAAUAAGGAUCGGCUAACUCCGUGCCAGCAGCCGCGGUAAUACGGAGGAUUCACGCGUUAUCCGGAUUUAUUGGGUUUAUAGGGUGCGUAGGCGGUUAG
Molecule: ribosomal RNA, 251 nt
Filed under: uncultured bacterium
Lineage: Bacteria
Description: partial 16S ribosomal RNA
Rfam family: Bacterial small subunit ribosomal RNA
Source: RNAcentral